This 205-nucleotide ribosomal RNA is filed under the name Clostridioides difficile. Its description in RNAcentral is "partial 23S ribosomal RNA". It matches the Rfam family "Bacterial large subunit ribosomal RNA", at positions 534 to 738 of the family's 2925-position model. Lineage: Bacteria; Bacillati; Bacillota; Clostridia; Peptostreptococcales; Peptostreptococcaceae. The record is from RNAcentral.
GGGAGUGAAAUAGAACCUGAAACCCUGCACUUACAAGCUGUGGAAGCACAUUUCUUGUGUGACCGCGUACUUUUUGUAGAACGGGCCAACGAGUUACGUUAAGUAGCAAGGUUAAGCACUUAAGGUGUGGAGCCGUAGCGAAAGCGAGUUUUAACUGAGCGUUCAGUUACUUGACGUAGACCCGAAACCGGGCGACCUACCCAUG